RNAcentral lists this ribosomal RNA (482 nucleotides) under uncultured Geobacter sp. RNAcentral describes it as "bacterial SSU rRNA". It matches the Rfam family "Bacterial small subunit ribosomal RNA", at positions 37 to 523 of the family's 1533-position model. Lineage: Bacteria; Pseudomonadati; Thermodesulfobacteriota; Desulfuromonadia; Geobacterales; Geobacteraceae. The record is from RNAcentral.
UGGCGGCGUGCUUAACACAUGCAAGUCGAACGGGAUCCAGAGCUUGCUCUGGUGAGAGUGGCGCACGGGUGAGUAACGCGUGGAUAACCUGCCCUGGUAUCUGGAAUAACAUCUCGAAAGGGUGCUAAUACCGGAUAAGCCUACGGAGCCUUCGGUCUCUGCAGGAAAAGGUGGCCUCUAUUUAUAAGCUACCGUAUCAGGAUGGGUCCGCGUACCAUUAGCUAGUUGGUGGGGUAAUGGCCCACCAAGGCGACGAUGGUUAGCUGGUCUGAGAGGACGACCAGCCACACGGGGACUGAGACACGGCCCCGACUCCUACGGGAGGCAGCAGUGAGGAAUCUUCCGCAAUGGGCGAAAGCCUGACGGAGCGACGCCGCGUGUGGGAUGAAGUCUUUCGGGAUGUAAACCACUGUCGGAGGGGAAGACAUCGACGGUACCCUCCAAGAAAGCCCCGGCUAACUACGUGCCAGCAGCCGCGGUAA